UACAGAGGUCCCAAGCGUUGUUCGGAUUUACUGGGCGUAAAGGGUGCGUAGGUGGUUGGGUAAGUCUGAUGUGAAAUCUCCGGGCUCAACCCGGAAAUGGCAUUGGAUACUAUUUGACUAGAGGGUUGGAGGGGGGACUGGAAUACUUGGUGUAGCAGUGAAAUGCGUAGAUAUCAAGUGGAACACCAGUGGCGAAGGCGAGUCCCUGGACAACUCCUGACACUGAGGCACGAAAGCUAGGGGAGCAAACAGG
RNAcentral lists this ribosomal RNA (253 nucleotides) under uncultured bacterium. RNAcentral's name for it is "partial 16S ribosomal RNA". It matches the Rfam family "Bacterial small subunit ribosomal RNA", at positions 524 to 776 of the family's 1533-position model. The record is from RNAcentral.